This 253-nucleotide ribosomal RNA is filed under the name uncultured bacterium. RNAcentral describes it as "partial 16S ribosomal RNA". It matches the Rfam family "Bacterial small subunit ribosomal RNA", at positions 524 to 776 of the family's 1533-position model. The record is from RNAcentral.
UACGUAGGGUGCGAGCGUUGUCCGGAAUUAUUGGGCGUAAAGAGCUUGUAGGCGGUCUGUCGCGUCUGCUGUGAAAAUCCGGGGCUCAACCCCGGACUUGCAGUGGGUACGGGCAGACUAGAGUGUGGUAGGGGAGACUGGAAUUCCUGGUGUAGCGGUGAAAUGCGCAGAUAUCAGGAGGAACACCGGUGGCGAAGGCGGGUCUCUGGGCCGUAACUGACGCUGAGGAGCGAAAGCGUGGGGAGCGAACAGG